UACGAAGGGAGCUAGCGUUGUUCGGAAUUACUGGGCGUAAAGGGCGCGUAGGCGGUCCGAUAAGUCAGAUGUGAAAGCCCUGGGCUCAACCCGGGAACUGCGUUUGAUACUAUCGGUCUUGAAUUCGGGAGAGGUUGGUGGAAUUCCCAGUGUAGAGGUGAAAUUCGUAGAGAUUGGGAAGAACACCCGUGGCGAAGGCGGCCAACUGGACCGACAUUGACGCUGAGGCGCGAAAGCGUGGGGAGCAAACAGG
This 253-nucleotide ribosomal RNA is filed under the name uncultured bacterium. RNAcentral describes it as "partial 16S ribosomal RNA". It matches the Rfam family "Bacterial small subunit ribosomal RNA", at positions 524 to 776 of the family's 1533-position model. The record is from RNAcentral.